RNAcentral lists this long non-coding RNA (1442 nucleotides) under Volvox carteri. Its description in RNAcentral is "long non-coding RNA (VCAR_LNC001101)". The record is from RNAcentral. Lineage: Eukaryota; Viridiplantae; Chlorophyta; Chlorophyceae; Chlamydomonadales; Volvocaceae.
UGACCUUGAUGCAUCCACUCCGUCGGCACGGAGGAAUGAUGUCAACACCACGGCAGAGUUUAACGUUACUUGCCCGGGGAUGAUUGACACGUUCCGCCUAAUACACCCCCGCCGGCGUGCUUACACAUACGUCCAUCCAGCGGGAGCUUCCCGUAUUGAUCGUAUAAUGGUAUCGCAAGCCCUGGAAAUGGCAGUCUAUGGCAGCGAUACAGCCUCAGGGACUCCAGCGGAUCACCGGAUCACCCACACUACCAUCCGGGCAGCCAAUAGUACGCACACACCAGGACCUGGCCUACCCCGUACUAGGCUUCACUUCCUGGACCAUGAUGACCUAUGUGCAAACUUAAAUAUGUGGGUAAAUAACACGGCAGAAUCAGCCCCCACGCACCCGGACGACCUCAUCCAAUGGUGGCCAGGCUUCAAACGGGCGCUGGCCCUAUCAGCUGGCCGCCUAAACCAACAGGCACGCAUGCGUCAGCUAAUUGGAGCUGCAGACGAGGCUGCUGCCCAAGCCCAGGCCGACAGCGUCCUGGCGGAAGCGGAGGAGGGGGACGCUUCGGCUCUUCCACGGGCGGUUCUCGCCAGGUCGGCCAGGCAGAUGCGGCACACCGGGCUGUAGCAGGCGUCACACGACGCACCCGUUACAAUUGGAUACGUACAGGCGAACGACCUAGCCCAGCACUAACCAACCAACUUAGGCCACCCUUAGCAACUCGCAGAAUCACUGCCCUACGAAGGCCUAAUGGUACUCUGUGUAGCAAUUUACAACAGCUUCCUAAUAUCAUGGCGGAUUAUUGGCAACAAAUAGGUGCACAGCCCCAUACUGACCCAGUUGCGCGGUCACGUGUCCUCCAAGCGCUCCGUGCGAGGGGUAGGACGUGCUCACCAGAAGAAGCGGCUAGGGCGGGAGCGCAGGUUGUUACAGUAGAGGAAGUGCAAGCCGCCCUCCAGGCGGCAGCCCCGGGCCGUGCUCCGGGUCCCGACGGAAUACCGGUGGAAUUAUACCAGCGUACAAACUGUGCACCUUUACUGGCUGCCGUUUUUACAGCUAUGGGGGAACUAGAUAGGGUCCCGACUGGCUUUCUGGACGGCAUUAUUUCCUCUUUUUUUAAAGCGGAUGACCCUACGGUGCCGGGAAAUUAUAGACCCAUUACGCUGCUUGGUACAGACUAUCGCACUCUCGCACGUGUUCUCAAGCAACGCCUAUUGCCGCUGUUUAACCGCGUCAUAGACACGGAGCAGACAGCCUUCCUCACGGGCAGGCGAAUCGCGGAUAGUGUGCUCCUUUUACAACUGCUGCCCGCGCUUCUCCGUAUGGAGCGCCGUACUUGUGUGGCAGCUUUCCUUGACUUCUACAAAGCCUACGAUACCCUAGAUAGAGACUUUCUGUUCGCGUGUCUGGAUGAAUUGGGUGUAGGUGUGGGCUUUAUUGCUUGGGUUCG